ACCCUGACGGCCCAGUGGUUGGUAUAGACGGGGCGGGGGGGGUCGGCAGCCACCCCCCGGGCACCCAGGGCCAGGGAGAGGGCCAGGAGGCAGAGGAGAGAUGAAGAAGAGGAGGAAGAAGAGGAGGCAGCAGCGGGCAUGGGCGAUGGACAGAGCUGGUGGGCGCUGUGCGUGCAGAAAAGUUGUUGGAGCCCAGCAGGAGGGGAGGAGAAGGUGGCUUGGCACUGCUGGCCGGAGCUGGUGCCCACGGGUGCCCCCCUCUCACCGCCGUGAUUUCACCAUUCACCGCUUGCGCCCUGCCGAUUUUUCACCCCAAAAGUGGAAAAGCUGGGGGAAAAGGGCUUCAGCUGGAAGAGCAGCGGCUUUGCUCCGCUCCGCGUGCCAGCCAGGGAGGCGCCGGGUGCUGGCUGACCCCGGUGCUGCCCGCGAGGCAGACUUUGGCCCCGCGCGCUCUGCGUCGUGGUGCGCCGGGGCAGAGCCUUCCCCUUAACUCUUUUCCAUGCUGACUCCCAGCCCGGCGAGACGCAGGCGAGGCAAUCGAGCCCAUCAGAGCAGAGAUUACGGCAGGGAUGGGGUCCAACCCCGGUUAUCUGCUUGCUGUGCCCGCUCCCGGUGCGCUGGGAUGCGCAGCGAGGCCGCCGGGACGCGGCCAAACCCCGUUUGCGUGCGGGGCGCUGAGAAGGAUCGUGCCUUCAUGCGAGCCCUGCACCUGGAAAUAGCUUUUUCUGUAGCUCCCAGGCUUAACCAAAUGAGGGAAAAUUGGGCUGGUGUAAUUAAAGCAGUGUGGUUCCCGAUCCUGGCUGCACUCGGGAGUUGUUCUGCAGCUCGGCUUUGGUGAAAAAUCCCCGGCUGGCUCUGGCCGCUCGCCACAGGGAUGCCCACGGUCAGCCUGGUGCAGCUCCCACCCCAUUCGGAGCAGAUGUUCCGCGUUCAGUCCUGCUCGUGGAAAAAUCCCGUGCGGCAAGGAGCUACCUGCGCAGCCCCACAGCCCAAAAAUGAGGAUCUGCAGCCCCCCUGGAGCUGCACCCCCACGGCUGAUGGCUCGCGUAAGGGAGCGGGCGCUGUCGGUGCUGCCGCUGCUCGCAAACCACAGCUCCGAGCCUGCGCCUUGGGACCUUCCUGGGUGGAUUUCCAGGAAAUUUGUGCUUGACGGAGAAAUGCUGCACCUGCCUCUUGCGCCCCGGCACUUCUGGGGGAGAUUUGGAGGAAAAAGGUGCUGGGAGAGAGCUCCCAUCAAGGGUGGAA
Non-coding RNA from Anas platyrhynchos (mallard), 1245 nucleotides. The record is from RefSeq and is a predicted model, not a curated record. NCBI's taxonomy places the organism in Eukaryota, Metazoa, Chordata, Aves, Anseriformes, Anatidae.